This 485-nucleotide ribosomal RNA is filed under the name uncultured bacterium. RNAcentral describes it as "bacterial SSU rRNA". It matches the Rfam family "Bacterial small subunit ribosomal RNA", at positions 39 to 518 of the family's 1533-position model. The record is from RNAcentral.
GCGACAGGCCUAACACAUGCAAGUCAGGGGCAGCACAAGGAGCAAUCUGAGGUGGCGACCGGCGCACGGGUGAGUAACACGUAUGCAACCUGCCUGUAAGCGGGGAAUAACCCGUUGAAAGACGGACUAAUACCGCAUAAUACUAAAUUACUGCAUGGUAAUUUAUUUAAACAUUUAUGGCUUACAGAUGGGCAUGCGCAUGAUUAGCUAGUUGGAGAGGUAACGGCUCCCCAAGGCAACGAUCAUUAGGGGUUCUGAGAGGAAGGUCCCCCCACACUGGUACUGAGACACGGACCAGACUCCUACGGGAGGCAGCAGUGAGGAAUAUUGGUCAAUGGACGAGAGUCUGAACCAGCCAAGUCGCGUGCAGGAAGAAUUGUCCUAUGGAUUGUAAACUGCUUUUGCAGGGGAAUAAAGUGCAUCACGUGUGAUGUUUUGUAUGUACUCUGCGAAUAAGGAUCGGCUAACUCCGUGCCAGCCGCGGC